Long non-coding RNA from Uranotaenia lowii, 646 nucleotides. RefSeq lists it as uncharacterized. The record is from RefSeq and is a predicted model, not a curated record. The transcript has 3 exons. NCBI's taxonomy places the organism in Eukaryota, Metazoa, Arthropoda, Insecta, Diptera, Culicidae.
CCCCGCCGCUAAAAAAAAUCAUUCGCAAUUUUCAUUUCAAAAACAGAUUCAUUUCGUGUGCCAGCCUCGUUUUCCGGGAAUUUUUCUGUGCCCCUUAGUUUCGAUGUCGAGUCGCAAUUUCGGUUCAAAUUCAACAAAGCCGGUUCCAUCCUAGGACAAAUUGACCGCAGUCGGUCAAUUAUAAUCACUCACGAAAUGCAACGAAAAACAUCAACGGAGCUCGGAAAUUCACAAUGGCUGACGGCUCCGGUUCUGCAGGGUCAACUUAAAGAUUGGGGCCGAGAAAAAUAUAUGCUUUGCGUUGAUGCUGACUUGAUAAUGCUAGCACAUCCCAUAAGGUCUAUCCCCGUCGAGUGCAACAACAUUUUGAUGUUCUGCAGCAGCAGCUAGGAUCACUGGAGCCUCCCGGCAGCAUUCAGCGGUAGGCCUCAGAAGAAAAUAAUUUAUGGGACAAGGCCAUAAACACAGUACGGAUUAGGAAGAAGGAUCGUGACAACAACAGAACCCAGGCAGAUCCGAAACCGAUGGCCAUCAUUUGAAUUCAACGAAAUAUUCGGAUUACUUGGAGGCACCAGAAAAAGACUGUGAUAUUGUUGAAAUGUUAUUGUAUUAAUUUGUAAAUUGUGAAAAUGUGAAAAAAUAAAUU